GCUCUCUGACCUGACCCUCGAGCUGGUCGCUCUCCUGCGCUGCUGAUACGGCCCGUCCUGUCUCCAGUUUUUACGUCAGUAAAACACUUAGCUAUGAGACACUUUAACGUCUCCCUCCCAGCUUUUGCUGAGCCUUAACUUUCUCACCUGUAGCAGAGGCCUUUGGCCCUGUGUGUCAAUGGCUGUCACGAGGGGGCGGGUGUCACCACUGAGGCCGCCGGCAGAGGAGGAGCCCCUCCAGCUCGGCCCGGGUGGGCGAGGGGUCUCCACAUCCUGAGCCGCCGGGACCGCCGGAGGAGUUUGCUCUGUCCCGAGGAUAAAAAAGAAAAGUUCACCAAUGUAAAACGUUGAACCACGGGAACACGAACAAAAGAGACGUAAUUUAUCAAAUGUCCGAUGGCGGAGGACUCCCUAACCUUGAAAAGUGAUGGAUGAAUUCUCUCACACACUAAAGCACAAACAUUUAAAACUUCAACCCAAAAAAGGAAACCAAAAUUUACCAAACAGUAAUCUGGGGAAAAUAAAUUCAACAAACACCACAAAAGAUUAAGAUCCUUAAUUGAGGAAGACCUUAUCGAAUGAGUAAGAAAGACGCUGAGACUCCAGUAGCUAAACGGGUGGAGAACACGAGCAGACAAUUCACCACAGAAGACAAAUGGUUGACAGGGAAGAAAAAUUUCUCGCUAGCAAUCAUAUCAAACAACAAAGCAAAGGAUUAAAACAAUAAGAUCUCUGAAACACCUUUUAUGGUUUUCCAUGCCACUUAGAAGAGAAGUCAAAAAUUUUUUUUAUGAGGAAGAUUGUCGCUGAGCUAACAUCUGUGCCCAUCUUCCUCUGUUUUAUGUGGGAUGCGGGCUCAGCACAGCUUGACAAGUGGUGCUGGGUCCCCGCCCAGGAUCCAGGCCUACAAAUCUGGCCGGAGCAGAGCACGAACUUAACCACUACACCACGGGGCCAGCCCCUCAAAUUUUUUAUCUUGGCAAAGUCCAGGAUGGUGUGAGGGCUCCAACGCAUUGUCUACCAUUCUACCCAUUUCUUUCAGCCACGAUCUGCUUUUUCCUGACCUUUAAACACCUGGAUCUCCCACCUCUGGCCCUUCAUGGGAAUGUCCUUCUCUCAGCUGCUGGCAUGAUUGAACCUUCUGAUCCUCAGGCCUCAGAUGAGUCACCUUCUCAGUGGGGUCCUCCCUGUCCACCCUGUGUACAUAGGUGCUCCCUCUGUGCUCUGUCCGAUCAGGCUGUGUCUUCAUCAUACUUCCCAGUUAACUUACUUGUUUUGGUGCCAGAAUCCUCCUGCCCCUAAUGAUCAUCUCUAAGUCAGCUUUACCCACCACUCCCAGUGCCCAACUCAGCGUGACACUUAGUAGGCGCACUUUAGAUAGUGGUUCAAUAGAAGAGACACGAAGUGACCUGACCCAGUGUACAUGGGAGGGAAGUGGCAGCACCAAAACCCAAAUCCUCCUGUGUCUGACUCCAAAGGCUCAGCUGUCAGCCACGGCUGUGCUUCUGGCCCAAAGUCCUGGCCAGGGCCUGGCGGAUCUGGCAAGUCUGGCAGUCAGAAUUUAAAAGUGUAAUUGAUGGGGAGAGGAAUCAGAACAGAAUCUACAAAGCUGAAUUAAUAUAGAGGUUCUCUGAUCAGUUAUAGUUAUUUCUUUCAUUCAGCAUGUUCAACAAAAAACAAACCCAGACUUAGGAGAGACUUUGCUCAAAAGGACUUUAUUCAAGGGGAGAAAGGGGCUGUUGCAACAGGGAGAAGGCUCUGAGUAUAAGGCCUGCAAGUGUGUCAGGAGUUAGGCAGGAGGAGUUUUUCUUUUAUGGAGAGGAGUAAACAAGGCUAGAAAGAACCAGGUGUGGGGAAGUGGGGUGAAAGGUGGCAGGAUUGGAUCAUAAAUCCAAAAUGGUUCCACCUCUUCUCAAGAGGGACUGGAUGCUGGCUCGGGCCACGGGGCGCCAAAGUUCAUUCAGGGGCCUGGAGGAGGGAGAGAGGCUUCUUGGAAGUUUGGUUAACAAGCAUUCUGUUCCAAUUGAUCAGUGGGGACCAGAGGCUCUGCUAAUCAUUUAUGAGGCAAAGAAAGGGAAUUUAGAGGGUCUGCAUCUGGCCUUGUUAUAAGUAAACAAGGCGGGCGUCCAUGAGUCUUGUCUAAGUCAUUUGGGGAAGGAAAGGUGGUUCUUUGUAAUGUCAUUUUCUAGAACCCAAAAAGAGUGGGGGCUGGAGGGUAGUCCUUAACCUUCACUGUUUUCCAGGAGCACAGGGCUUGGGUAAAGUUCAACACUGUCAAGCUUACAUCUAUGGAUCUCCUUCCGUGUGUCCAGCCCUGGCGAGUGAAGUGAUGUGAUGGCUACAGCACAUGCAGUCAUCUUGGACCAUGAGGCAACAUUGACCAUAGAAUCCAUGUGCUAAGGAUGGCAAAGCAGAAAAAUGGAAAGUAUGUGAGAAAGAGAUAAAUGUCUCUGUUGCUCAGGAGCUUGUGAAGAUCUCUGUUAGUAACAGCUGAAGCAAUUCCUCACUUACAUACUUAGGCACAGAGGUUAAGUUACUCAUGUAAGAUGUCAUAGCUGGUAAGUACAAGAGGCAGGAUAUAACCCCGGACAGUGGCUACAAAGCCCGUGGUUUGUAAGCUUCUGUGCAGGGCUCAGUUUUGCUUUCCCUGCUGCCCCAGCCCAGCCCAGGAGGUCUGCCAACCUGGUCAAUAGCUCCCUCAGAAACAUACCCAAGUUUGUUUUCUCCCCAGGCCCGUGGCUAGGCUGGCAGAGACGCAGUUCCUCAGGUUCAGGAAAGGCCACGUGAGGACGCAGUGCGAAGGUGGCCAUCUGCAAGCCAGGAAGAGAGCCCUUACCAGAAUCUGAACCCUGACCUGGCACUUUCAGGCUCCAGAACUGUGAGAAGUAGCUGGAGGUGGUUUGUGAGCCCCAGAUCUGCGCUGAGAUGGAUGGAGAUAAGUUUCGCAGCGUUAUUUCCAGCCUCAAAUCCUUUCGGGAACAGUGGAUCUCUGUAGCAGUCAAGGUUAAACCAGAAAACCGCUCACAUCUGCAGGACCUGCAUGCAGGCAUUGGGGUCACAGGUGAUGGAUAAACAAAUGGGGACACUGCAACAACCCAGAGAUUUGUCACCAUGGUGGAGUCACCAUCCCCCUAGGCUGGGGGCAGAGGGAUCCCAGGCACCACAAGGAGACUGUUCAGUGAGAGUUGGAACCUGGGAAGAGACGAAAAUGCCACAGCACUACCUUGUGGGGCAGGCAGGGAAGGGACACACUCAGCACUCUUCCCCACUCACGCUCUCCAAACUCUGUGCCAGCACCUCCCAUUCGCGAUACCAGCAGGAAGCCAGCUGGCCUGGCAGCUUGGAAACACAGCCCAGGGUCCGCACUGCUGCCAUACAAAGCAAAGUGAGGGGGAUGAGAAAUGACUCGGGCAUGCUGGCCCAGGACCAGUACCACCCUCCAUUGUCCUGAUACCUUUGAAAGGCUGUCAUUAUUGAGGAAUUGAACAGCCUAACUGUUACGAGCUGAAUUGUGUCCCGGACCAAAUUCAUAUGUUGAAGUCCCAGUACCUCAGAAUGUGAUCAUAUGCGGAGAUAAGGUCUGUAAAGAGACGAUUAAAUUAAAAAGAGGCCAUUAGGGUGACCCUAAUCCAAUCUGACUGGUGUCCUUAUAACCAGAGGAGAUUAAGACACACAGAGACAUCAGAGGUAUGCACACAGAAGGAAGACCACGUGAGG
Equus caballus (horse) is the source of this 3717-nucleotide long non-coding RNA. The record is from Ensembl. Lineage: Eukaryota; Metazoa; Chordata; Mammalia; Perissodactyla; Equidae.